RNAcentral lists this ribosomal RNA (469 nucleotides) under uncultured bacterium. Its description in RNAcentral is "partial 16S ribosomal RNA". It matches the Rfam family "Bacterial small subunit ribosomal RNA", at positions 28 to 507 of the family's 1533-position model. The record is from RNAcentral.
GAUGAACGCUGGCGGCGCGCCUAACACAUGCAAGUCGAACGGUUAAAGCACCUUUUAGGUGUGUAUAAAGUGGCGAACGGCUGAGUAACACGUGGGCAACCUGCCCUCCUCUUGGGGAUAGCCUCGGGAAACCGAGGAUAAUACCCGAUACUUCAAUGUGGCCGCAUGACGACAUUGAGAAAGCUUUUGCGGAGAAGGAUGGGCCCGCGGCCUGCUAGCUUGUUGGUGGGGUAGAGGCCUACCAAGGCAAUGAUGGGUAGCUGGGUUGAGAGACCGACCAGCCAGAUUGGGACUGAGACACGGCCCAGACUCCUACGGGAGGCAGCAGUGGGGAAUCUUGCACAAUGGGCGAAAGCCUGAUGCAGCGACGCCGCGUGCGGGACGAAGGCCUUCGGGUUGUAAACCGCUUUCAGCAGGGACGAGGCGAUAAGUGACGGUACCUGCAGAAGAAGCCCCGGCUAACUACGUG